Molecule: transfer RNA, 84 nt
Filed under: Actinocrinis puniceicyclus
Lineage: Bacteria; Bacillati; Actinomycetota; Actinomycetes; Catenulisporales; Actinospicaceae
Description: actinobacterium OB1 tRNA
Rfam family: tRNA
About the family: Transfer RNA (tRNA) molecules are approximately 80 nucleotides in length. Their secondary structure includes four short double-helical elements and three loops (D, anti-codon, and T loops).
Source: Rfam by way of RNAcentral
GCGCGAGUGGCGGAAUGGCAGACGCGCUGGUCUUAGGAAUCAGUGCCCUGAUAAGGCGUGCGGGUUCGAAUCCCGCCUCGCGCA